Long non-coding RNA from Micropterus salmoides (largemouth bass), 213 nucleotides. RefSeq lists it as uncharacterized. Lineage: Eukaryota; Metazoa; Chordata; Actinopteri; Centrarchiformes; Centrarchidae. The transcript is spliced from 2 exons. The record is from RefSeq and is a predicted model, not a curated record.
UAAAGCAUUGUUCAUACAUUAAUACACAUUAGUAGGUCAUUCAUAAACAUAGUUAUAUGUAACCCUUAUCACGAGGUAGUAAUAAUGUACAUAGGUGUAAUAGUCUAAAGUAGUCUUAUCAAUGUGGACCAGAAUCAGAAUACACUAAAUUGUUAAGAGCCUGAGAAUUGAAUGUCAAUAAAAAGAAUACCACACCCGAAUGACAGUUUGCAU